AUUGAACGCUGGCGGCAUGCCUAACACAUGCAAGUCGAACGAAGGCUUCGGCCUUAGUGGCGCACGGGUGCGUAACGCGUGGGAAUCUGCCCUUGGGUACGGAAUAACUCUCCGAAAGGAGUGCUAAUACCGUAUGAUGUCGCAAGACCAAAGAUUUAUCGCCCAGGGAUGAGCCCGCGUAGGAUUAGGUAGUUGGUGGGGUAAAGGCUCACCAAGCCGACGAUCCUUAGCUGGUCUGAGAGGAUGAUCAGCCACACUGGGACUGAGACACGGCCCAGACUCCUACGGGAGGCAGCAGUGGGGAAUAUUGGACAAUGGGCGAAAGCCUGAUCCAGCAAUGCCGCGUGAGUGAUGAAGGCCUUAGGGUUGUAAAGCUCUUUUACCCGGGAAGAUAAUGACUGUACCGGGAGAAUAAGCCCCGGCUAACUCCGUGCCAGCAGCCGCAGUAA
This 449-nucleotide ribosomal RNA is filed under the name uncultured bacterium. RNAcentral's name for it is "partial 16S ribosomal RNA". It matches the Rfam family "Bacterial small subunit ribosomal RNA", at positions 30 to 523 of the family's 1533-position model. The record is from RNAcentral.